Molecule: transfer RNA, 71 nt
Filed under: Lupinus angustifolius (narrow-leaved blue lupine)
Lineage: Eukaryota; Viridiplantae; Streptophyta; Magnoliopsida; Fabales; Fabaceae
Rfam family: tRNA
About the family: Transfer RNA (tRNA) molecules are approximately 80 nucleotides in length.
Source: Rfam by way of RNAcentral
CUUUUUAUGGUGAAUUAGUGUCCCAAUCGAUUUAAGAUUGAAUAAAAAUGGUUCGAACCCAUUUGAGGGGA